This is a non-coding RNA of Gymnopus androsaceus JB14, 96 nucleotides long. The record is from the annotation of a GenBank genome assembly. NCBI's taxonomy places the organism in Eukaryota, Fungi, Basidiomycota, Agaricomycetes, Agaricales, Omphalotaceae.
GGGGGUAUAGCUCAGCUGGGAGAGCAGCAGACUGAAGUUCCCACUCAAAUGCAGAUACUUUUCUGAAGGUCCCGCGUUCGAUCCGCGGUACCCCCA